Nocardia terpenica is the source of this 65-nucleotide regulatory RNA element. It matches the Rfam family "Actino-pnp RNA". The record is from Rfam. Lineage: Bacteria; Bacillati; Actinomycetota; Actinomycetes; Mycobacteriales; Nocardiaceae.
GUCGGUCUUCGGUAGUGGUCUUUCGGCAGGAAAGGAUUGCCGGAGGGCUUCGAUCGAUGACCGCC